GGCGGGAUCCCUCGCGGGUGCA
This 22-nucleotide non-coding RNA is filed under the name Arabidopsis thaliana (thale cress). Lineage: Eukaryota; Viridiplantae; Streptophyta; Magnoliopsida; Brassicales; Brassicaceae. The record is from RNAcentral.